AUUGUUAAAAAAAAAAAAAAAAAAAUCAACCAUCUUUUCAAAUACAAAUAUUUUAACCUAUUAAAACAACCAAAAAUUAAAAUACCCUACUAAAAUAACUAACUUUUCAAAUGACGAAUAAUCAAAAGGCAAAAAAAUCAACUAAAAUAAGUUCCCAAAUGAGGCUGAGUUUUCUCACUUCAGUCAACAAAUUCAAGCUUGGAAGGUGAUAUGCUACUUGGAAGACAUUUCAGAGGCAUGCUCUAGACCAUUAUUUGCCAAAUGAAAAUAAAGCAGGUACAAAAGCCUACUAGAAGCAAACAUUUUGAGCAACCAAAUGCCCUCCCAAAAAGUUUACAAAUCAAACAAAAUAACAAUAAGAGUAAUAAAAACAUUCAAAUAUACCACUAAGAAUCAAGUAAGAAGAACCAUGAACCCACAAUCAUAGGAACAAACAACAAAGUCGGUAUUGUCAAAGUUAAUUUUCAUCACAUGCCAUCAUCCUUACAGACAUCAAAAUACAAAUCCUAAUAGAAAUUCUUGAAAUAAAAAUAAACCUAAGCACCUAUUUACUUGCUCCACAUUACCAAAAGCCAAAUUGAUAA
This is a long non-coding RNA of Camellia sinensis, 584 nucleotides long. RefSeq lists it as uncharacterized. NCBI's taxonomy places the organism in Eukaryota, Viridiplantae, Streptophyta, Magnoliopsida, Ericales, Theaceae. The record is from RefSeq and is a predicted model, not a curated record.